UUUUUUUCUUUUUCUUUCUUUUCUUUUUCUUUUUGAUCUUUUUUCCUUUUCUAGGGCCGCUCCCGCAGUAUAUGGAGAUUGCCAGGCUAGGGGUCUAAUCGGAGCUGUAGCCACCGGCCUACACCAGAGUCACAGCAACUCGGGAUCCGAGCCGAGACUGCGACCUACACCACAGCUCACGGCAACGCCGGAUCCUUAACCCGCUGAGCAAGGAUAUAGUGUUGCUGAAAGAUUUGGUAUAGAUCUCAGCUGCAGCUUUGAUUCAAUCCCUGCAGCUCGGAUCUGGCAUUGCUGUGGCUGUGGCACAGGCCAGCAGCUGUAACUCCGAUUCGACCCCUAGCCUGGGAACUUCCAUAUGUUGCGGGUGUAGCCCUAAAAAGCAAGAGAAAGAAAGGAAAAUGAACAAGCAACUCGGCUCAUUUUAUAUUCAACAUAAUGAACUUAAUUUGCAGCGACGCUCCAUUGCAGAUAGUGUGAUUUAACCAAGAAUCAACAAUUGCUAUCCGAUAAUGUUCUAAUCCAAAGAGUUUGAGCACAACCACUAGAAAAGCUAAGAUACAGGAUAGAAAACCUGCCAGUUGCUAACCCACAAAGAGCCGUGCCACGUUUGCUUAAGAGCAUCUAUAGCUUCCUAGGCUGGAUGCUUAACUGCUUUUUGAUUGAUUAAAUAUCCUGCCUCCUGGCUGCUUCUUUCUGAAGGCUGCUCAGCAGGGGGUCCCACUGCCAAAACCUCUCCUGCCUGGAACUUUUAGGAGAAAAGGCACCUGUCAACGAAGGAAGGACAGGGGGCCAGCCAGAGCUGUUGGACCAUCCUAAGGGACAUCCAGAAAUGCCCCCUUCUAUGUGGGGGAAAAAAACCCCAAAAAACCUAAAGAAAAUUUCCUAUUCGCCCUGGCAUGGAUUAUUUAACAAAGUGAUAAAACAUGUAGCUCUGAUAAUGGGCUUGAAGCAGAUACACUUUGGAGGCAUCCAUUUAGGGUCCGUGGAUGGUUAACAGCAGAAUUAAAAUGAGAAACUGAAAUGGGUUUCUCUGACGUGAGUGCAGCCCUGUGCUCCCUGGAAGGCCAAUGGCCUGUGCAUUCCAGAAGAAGUGACGUGAAUCCGGAGUCCUGCGGCAGCCAGAGCACGGCCAGUGUUUAUCGGUAAAUCCAGUCCCAGUAAAACAGGGCCUUUGUCAAGGCCCACAGCUUCAUAAAAGGCAGGUGAUGGCCGGCCCCCUCCUUAGCUGGUAGGAAAGCUACAAAGCUCCUCUGGAUCCACACAGGGCUGGGCACUAAGUGAAAAGCGGGCGUUACCAGCAGACAGUGGGGAGGCAAGCCUGGAUCAGCCACUUAAUAGCCGAGAUGCCCCUUCGAGCACGCUUGUCAUCCUCUGAAUCUCUGUUUCUUCCUUUAUGGUAGGGGGACAACACUCUGCAGAGCUGUCAUUGUGGCCCCAACCCAGUGAGGCCAGAAUCUCUGGGAAGGGGACUCAGGAGCCCAGUAUUGACCAAAGAAACCUGAUGGUGGGUGAAUGGGACCCUGGAUUCGGUCAAUUGCAGAGACUGGAACCCAGCUCUCAAAAGGAAGAUGAGGGAGAGGGAGUGAAUCAGGAGUUGAGGAUUAGCAGAUACAAACCACUGGAACAGCCCGGAGACCCCUGGUGGCUCAGUGGGUUGAGGAGCCCGCAUUGUCACUGAUAUGGCUUGGGUUUGAUCCCUGGCCUGGGACCUUCUGCAAGCCAUGGGCAUGCCACCCCCCCACAAAAAGAUACACAAGAAGGUCCUACACAGGGAAUUAUAUUCCAUGUCCUAUAAUAAACCAUAAGGAAAAAUAUGAAAGUGAAUAUAUAUUAGUAAAUAUUAGUCUGUUAAGAAUACAUAUGUGUAAAGAAAAAGAACACAUAUAUGUAAAAAAUUGAAUCACUUGGCUGUGCAUCUUAACUAACACAACAUUGUAAAUCAACUAAUUGAAAAAAAAGAUAAAACACAGACACACAUACAGAAGGAAAAUAAGUCAGACUGCAGGUAAGUUUAUGGGAGGGACAUUUCUGUGCAGAGAGAAGGAGAACCCACGCAGGGGAGGUGACAGAAGGGACACAGAGGGGGACAACUUCUAAGGACGGGGAAGGGA
RNAcentral lists this long non-coding RNA (2111 nucleotides) under Sus scrofa (pig). RNAcentral describes it as "lncRNA (ENSSSCG00005022630.1)". The record is from RNAcentral. Lineage: Eukaryota; Metazoa; Chordata; Mammalia; Artiodactyla; Suidae.